CGGGGGGGGGCAAGCGUUGUUCGGAAUUACUGGGCGUAAAGGGCGCGCAGGCGGGCGGGAAAGUCUCUCGUGAAAUCCCACGGGCUCAACCGCGGAAUUGCGGGAGAUACUACUCGUCUUGAGUUCGGGAGAGGAGUGUGGAAUUCCCAGUGUAGCGGUGAAAUGCGUAGAUAUUGGGAGGAACACCGGUGGCGAAGGCGGCACUCUGGACCGAUACUGACGCUGAGGCGCGAAAGCUAGGGGAGCAAACGGGAUUAGAUACCCCGGUAGUCCUAGCUGUAAACGCUGAGCACUUGGUGUAGCGGGUAUCGACCCCUGCUGUGCCGAAGCUAACGCAUUAAGUGCUCCGCCUGGGGAGUACGGUCGCAAAGGCUG
Molecule: ribosomal RNA, 375 nt
Filed under: uncultured organism
Description: partial 16S ribosomal RNA
Rfam family: Bacterial small subunit ribosomal RNA
Source: RNAcentral